Molecule: ribosomal RNA, 255 nt
Filed under: uncultured bacterium
Lineage: Bacteria
Description: partial 16S ribosomal RNA
Rfam family: Bacterial small subunit ribosomal RNA
Source: RNAcentral
UACGGGGGGGAGCAAGCGUUGUUCGGAUUUACUGGGCGUAAAGGGCGCGUAGGCGGUCGUGACAAGUCACUUGUGAAAUCUCCGGGCUUAACUCGGAACGGUCAAGUGAUACUGUCGGACUAGAGUACAGAAGGGGCAACUGGAAUUCUCGGUGUAGCGGUGAAAUGCGUAGAUAUCGGGAGGAACACCAGUGGCGAAGGCGACUACCUGGCCUGUUCUUGACGCUGAGGCGCGAAAGCUAGGGGAGCAAACGGG